This is a long non-coding RNA of Lagopus muta (rock ptarmigan), 1269 nucleotides long. RefSeq lists it as uncharacterized. Lineage: Eukaryota; Metazoa; Chordata; Aves; Galliformes; Phasianidae. The record is from RefSeq and is a predicted model, not a curated record. The transcript has 3 exons.
CCUAGAUCCUGCAGUGUUACCGAGCACCAAACCUUUAUUCUAAAAAUCCUGAUCAUUAUGAAACAAUCUCCAGAAUGUAAAAGCAUGAAGGGCAGCAUGUGGCUCUUUGGGUGCCAGGUGAAAAUGCAUCCCUUUUUACAUAUUUCUCAGAUUGCUACUCAGUGGAUGGAGUACUUAUAUCAAGUUCCACUUUUCACCUGAAUGUAAUGCAGAGGAAGAUUAAUCUGCAUGCUGAAAUCUGUCACUCCCAUUUCCAUAAUCUGGCCCUUCUGAAAAUGAGCCUCUCAAAAUAACAAGUGGGUUUUUUGUUUGUUUGUUUGUUUUUUCGUUCUGCCAAGAUGUUUUUCCUUUUAAGGGUAUGAUUAAUGACCUGCUAUGAAUGUCAAAAGGCAAAUUCAAAGGAAAGAUUUAUUUUUUAAAAAGUACUGUUUUUAAAUGAGUCCUUGUGCAAUAGUUACCUCAUGUCAUGCUGUCUUACCACUGUGUCUGUGAGUAGCCAUUGGAAACUUCUAAAGCUCUUUUCUGUAUCAGUGCCUUCUGCUUGCUCUUUCCCAUUCUCCUUCCUGCAUACCUUUCUGUUUCAAUGCACAACUAAUAAGCAAAAGAUUUUUUAAAAGCCAACUCUUAAAAUGAUGUGUUUUUGUAAAUCCUGAAUCCUACGUGCUACACUAAGAAAACAUACUCUUUAGUCUGAAAAGGAGAGAACAACUCUGUACUGUAUGUGCUGUCAAACUAGCAUUUAAUUUUUUAUUGUUGUAUUAGGUUUAUAAAAGGAGGGUUGGUGGAUUUCUGAAAGUUGUUGUUAUUAUGGAUUAUUUUUAAAAGCAUUGCUAUGUAAAAGAGUAUAUACCUGUCUACAUGCCUACGACAUGAUAAACAUAAGGCUACAGUUCCUUUUUUUCAUUAUUGCUCUCGAUAAAUUCUCAGACAUUAACUUCAAUGUGAACCUGAAAACCAUUAUAAAAAGAUAUCUGGUCAUCUGACUUACAGUUUGCUGUCAUCUCUGCUUUGAACUUUCUAAAAAUCAUUCAUUUUUCUUCUGUACACACAAAUCUGACAUCAACCCAGAAUAAUCAUGCUUACCUAAAUUAAACCAAAAUCUUUCCUAUUUUCUUUCAGUGCUAUGUCUUUGUUAUUUAAUGUUUACAUCAUACAGAUUUAAAUCCUUCUGUCAGUUUCACUUCAUGUAUGCUACUGCAGUCUUCAGAGCACCUCUACCACAACAUAUCUCCCAGCAGCACAGUAAUCUGCAAGGUUACUCUCACCAUU